This 495-nucleotide ribosomal RNA is filed under the name uncultured bacterium. RNAcentral describes it as "partial 16S ribosomal RNA". It matches the Rfam family "Bacterial small subunit ribosomal RNA", at positions 28 to 507 of the family's 1533-position model. The record is from RNAcentral.
GACGAACGCUGGCGGCGUGCCUAAUACAUGCAAGUAGAACGCUGAAGGAGGAGCUUGCUCUUCUGGAUGAGUUGCGAACGGGUGAAUAACGCGUAGGUAACCUGCCUGGUAGCGUGGGAUAACUAUUGGAAACGAUAGCUAAUACCGCAUAACAGUAGAUGUUGCAUGACAUUUACUUAAAAGGUGCAAUUGCAUCGCUACCAGAUGGACCUGCGUUGUAUUAGCUAGUGGGUGGGGUAACGGCGCACCAAGGCGACGAUACAUAGCCGACCUGCGAGGGGGAGCAGCCGGCCUGGGACGGAGACACGGCACAGUCGCCUUCGGGUGGCAGCCGUAGGGCAUCGUCGGGAAUGGGCGGAAGUCUGUCCGAACAACGCCGCGUGCGUGUAGAAGGUUGUCGGGUCGUAAAGGUCGGUUGUAGGAGAAGAAAGAGUGUGCGAGUGUAAAGUUGACACUGUGACGGUAUCUGGCCAGGAAGCGCCGGCUAACUACGUG